UGACUCUGGCAUCGAUGAAGAACGCAGCGAAAUGCGAUAAGUAAUGUGAAUUGCAGAAUUCAGUGAAUCGUCGAAUCUUUGAACGCACAUUGCGCCCGCCAGUAUUCUGGCGGGCAUGCCUGUCCGAGCGUCAUUUCAACCAUCAAGCCCCGGGCUUGUGUUGGGGACCUGCGUCCGACGCAGGCCCUGAAAACCAGUGGCGGGCUCGCUGUCCACACCGAGCGUAGUAACUCACCUCGCUGCGGAGUGGCGCGGGCGCCUGCCGUGAAACCCCCAAUUCCACAAGGUUGACCUCGGAUCAGGUAGGAAUACCCGCUGA
This 319-nucleotide unclassified non-coding RNA is filed under the name uncultured fungus. RNAcentral's name for it is "partial contains 5.8S ribosomal RNA and internal transcribed spacer 2". The stretch from base 1 to 133 matches the Rfam family "5.8S ribosomal RNA", at positions 22 to 154 of the family's 154-position model. The record is from RNAcentral. Lineage: Eukaryota; Fungi.